This 395-nucleotide ribosomal RNA is filed under the name uncultured Glomeromycotina. RNAcentral describes it as "SSU rRNA". It matches the Rfam family "Eukaryotic small subunit ribosomal RNA", at positions 569 to 968 of the family's 1831-position model. The record is from RNAcentral. Lineage: Eukaryota; Fungi; Glomeromycota.
AGCAGCCGCGGUAAUUCCAGCUCCAAUAGCGUAUAUUAAAGUUGUUGCAGUUAAAAAGCUCGUAGUUGAAUUUCGGGGUCAGCAGGUUGGUCGUGCCUCUGGUACGCACUGGUUUCGCUGAUUCCUCCUUUCUGAAGAACUGUAAUGUCAUUAAUUUGGUGUUGCAGGGAAACAGGACUGUUACUUUGAAAAAAUUAGAGUGUUUAAAGCAAGCUAACGCUUGAAUACAUUAGCAUGGAAUAAUGAAAUAGGACGUUUGAUCCUAUUUUGUUGGUUUCUAGGAUUGACGUAAUGAUUAAUAGGGAUAGUUGGGGGCAUUAGUAUUCAAUUGUCAGAGGUGAAAUUCUUGGAUUUAUUGAAGACUAACUACUGCGAAAGCAUUUGCCAAGGAUGUU